RNAcentral lists this ribosomal RNA (514 nucleotides) under uncultured microorganism. Its description in RNAcentral is "bacterial SSU rRNA". It matches the Rfam family "Bacterial small subunit ribosomal RNA", at positions 9 to 521 of the family's 1533-position model. The record is from RNAcentral.
GAGUUUGAUCGUGGCUCAGGAUGAACGCUGGCGGCGUGCUUAACACAUGCAAGUCGAACGAAGCGCCUUAUUUGAUUUUCUUCGGAACUGAAGAUUUGGUGACUGAGUGGCGGACGGGUGAGUAACGCGUGGGUAACCUGCCCUGUACAGAGGGAUAACAAUCAGAAAUGACUGCUAAUACCGCAUAAGACCACAGCACCGCAUGGUGCAGGGGUAAAAACUCCGGUGGUACAGGAUGGACCCGCGUCUGAUUAGCUGGUUGGUGAGGUAACGGCUCACCAAGGCGACGAUCAGUAGCCGGCUUGAGAGAGUGAACGGCCACAUUGGGACUGAGACACGGCCCAAACUCCUACGGGAGGCAGCAGUGGGGAAUAUUGCACAAUGGGGGAAACCCUGAUGCAGCAACGCCGCGUGAGUGAAGAAGUAUUUCGGUAUGUAAAGCUCUAUCAGCAGGGAAGAAAGUGACGGUACCUGACUAAGAAGCCCCGGCUAACUACGUGCCAGCAGCCGCCGU